RNAcentral lists this ribosomal RNA (405 nucleotides) under Triticum aestivum (bread wheat). RNAcentral's name for it is "partial small subunit ribosomal RNA". Lineage: Eukaryota; Viridiplantae; Streptophyta; Magnoliopsida; Poales; Poaceae. The record is from RNAcentral.
CUGGUAAUAAGUGUGCUUUCUGCAAUGCCCACAUUUGCCAUGACUGUUCUCCGUCUGCCAAAGAAGUUUCUCAAAGAAAUAGACAAGACAAGAUGUAGAUUCCUAUGGGCACAAGAAGAAGAGCUGCCGGGAGGGAAGUGCAAAGUGAAUUGGAAGACAUUAUGUUCACCGAUCGAGAAGGGGGGGCUUGGGAUACAAGAUCUUCAGCGCUUCGGCAGAGCUCUUCGCCUACGGUGGGUCUGGAUGGCCUGGACACAUCCAUCCAGGCCAUGGAAACACUUUCCCACACACUGCGAUCAGGAAGAUGAUAUGUCCAUUUUGCAUCAUGUUUUCUUACUGUUAUUUAUAAUGUUUUUAUCCAUAACAAUGCUUUUUGGAGUAAUUAUAAUGCCUUUUCUCUCAUAA